RNAcentral lists this ribosomal RNA (462 nucleotides) under uncultured bacterium. RNAcentral describes it as "partial 16S ribosomal RNA". It matches the Rfam family "Bacterial small subunit ribosomal RNA", at positions 28 to 507 of the family's 1533-position model. The record is from RNAcentral.
GACGAACGCUGGCGGCGUGCUUAACACAUGCAAGUCGAGCGGAAAGGCCCUUCGGGGUACUCGAGCGGCGAACGGGUGAGUAACACGUGAGUAACCUGCCCCAGACUUUGGGAUAACUCUCGGAAACGGGGGCUAAUACCGGAUACGACACAGCUUCGCAUGGGGUCUGUGUGGAAAGUUUUUCGGUUUGGGAUGGGCUCGCGGCCUAUCAGCUUGUUGGUGGGGUGAUGGCCUACCAAGGCGACGACGGGUAGCCGGCCUGAGAGGGCGACCGGCCACACUGGGACUGAGACACGGCCCAGACUCCUACGGGAGGCAGCAGUGGGGAAUAUUGCACAAUGGGCGGAAGCCUGAUGCAGCGACGCCGCGUGAGGGAUGACGGCCUUCGGGCUGUAAACCUCUUUCAGCAGGGACGAAGCGUAAGUGACGGUACCUGCAGAAGAAGCGCCGGCCAACUACGUG